AUAACACCAACACAAUAUAAGUCAUCAUUAGUUUAUUAGCAUGAUAUAACAUAGUAAGCACUUGUAUCAUAAAUAUGUAAAUAUGUAAUGUGCUAUAAACACAUAACAUGAUAGAACUGUGUAAAACAUUUAUAGCUCUCUUUGAACACAAUGAUAGGAAACACUGAAAUGUGCAACUCAAACACAAAAAAUAUACCAUUAAACAAGAUUUUAAAGUAGUACUGAAACGUGUAUGAUUUACGAGUGUUUUCACUCUUCAUUUUUUUGGUGAAAAAUGCCACAGUGUGUGAAACAAUACCAUACUACUUUAUAUUCUUUACUUAUCAUUCUCCCAACACCUUCCUUUGAAUUGAUUUCCCAAAUUUGAACGGCCGAACAGCUGUUAGCAAGGUAUAUAACCCUUAGAAUACAGAUACUUGUAUUUCAUUCAAAAUGGAAAAAAAUAGUAUUAUGGUACGUAUGUAAAUUUAAGGAUGAGUGUCAUCCUACACCUACAUAGCUCAUUAAAUGAAAACAAUGCAAUUGUUUUUUUUUUUUUUUUGUUUUUUCAUGAUCCAUCUAUUAAGCGUGUGCUGUCUUUGAACAUUUAUAAAACCAACACAAUAUAAGUCUUCUACCGGUAUAACAUAAUAAGAACAUCAUGAAUAUGUGAAAUGUGCUAUGAAACAGAACAUGAUAUAACGGUGUAAAACAUCUAAAGCUCUCUCUGAACAUUAUGAAAGGAAACACUGAAAUGUGCAACCCAAGCACAAAAAAAUAUACCAUUAAAAAAGAUUUUAAGUUAUACUGAAACGUGUAUAAUUUACGAGUGUUUUCACUCUUCAUUUUUUUGGUGAAAAAUGCCACAGUGUGUGAAACAAUACCAUACUACUUUAUAUUCUUAACUUAUCAUUCUCCCAACACCAUCCUUUGAAUUGAUUUCCCAAAAUUGAAAGGCCGAACAGCUGUUAGCAAUAUAUUUUUAACUGCUACUAACCAAAAUAGGCUUCAAGUAUAAGGAAAAGACAGUUUGUCGUUCAAACGUUCAUCAAAUUAAGGUAUCCUUAAGAAAAGCUUUUUGCUGUGUGAUAUAGAGGGUAACAAAUGGGUGUUUGAGUAGUUGUAUAUAUAUAUAUAGAUGGUUACACAUGGGUUAGAUUAAUUAAUUCUUUGGUGCUAAAUGUCCAAUGGCAAAUAUGUCGGUCAUUUUCACGACAAUGACAAAAGAGAUGAUUUCAGCUUUCCAAUUGUGAACUUUCCAUUUCUAAGUAGCAACAUUCCAGCAGCACCUGCAUACGGGGUAUAUAUCUCCCAAUUGAUACGAUAUUCCCGUGCUUGCAUUUCCUAUCAUGAUUUUCUUGAUAGAGGGUUGCUGCUCACAAGGAAGCUAUUAAACCAAGAGUUCCAAACGGUGAUGUUGAAAUCAUCCCUUCGUAAAUUUUACGAACGCCAUCACGAGUUGGUUGACCGUUAUGGAAUAACCGUUUCACAAAUAAUAUCGGAUAUGUUCCUUACGUCGUAACUACAAUCCCCUUCCCUUUCAUGAAUGUGACCUACCGAAUUAGACUAUUUACUGGAUUUGUUAUCACAUAAGCAACACGACGGGUGCCGCAUGUGGAGCAGGAUCUGCUUACCCUUCCGGAGCACCUGAGAUAACCCCUAGUUUUUUGGUGGGGUUCGUGUUGUUUAUUCUUUAGUUUUCUAUGUUGUGUCGUGUGUGUUGUUGUUUGUUUGUCUUUUUCAUUUUUAGCCAUGGCGUUGUCAGUUUGUUUUAGAUUUAUGAGUUUGACUGUCCCUUUGGUAUCUUUCGUCCCUCUUUUACAAAUUAAGAGUACUUUCUGCUAAAUCGUAUGACAGAAUUUUGGGUGAACCCUGAACAGAUAUUGAUAUAAUUUAGUUCUACUUGACGAAAAAUUUUAUACAUAGUAAGGAAGAGACAGUCAAGUAAGUUUUUUUUUUUAAAAGGUCAUCAAGGAAUACGUCCGAAAAGUUAUGGUUGUGAACGGAAUUCAGCAAUUUUCCAUUUGUAAAGGAGCAUAUCACUAGAACGGUAAUAGUGACUCUUUCAAAUUCAAACUUGACCAGUGUUUUCUGGUAAUAAGCAUUUUGUGUUACUUUCAUCUCAUUUAGGUGAGACAAACUUAUAUUAGCACUACUGCAAUGGAAUGUAAAAGUCACUCAGAUUGUUC
RNAcentral lists this long non-coding RNA (2168 nucleotides) under Mytilus galloprovincialis (Mediterranean mussel). Lineage: Eukaryota; Metazoa; Mollusca; Bivalvia; Mytilida; Mytilidae. The record is from RNAcentral.